This 424-nucleotide ribosomal RNA is filed under the name Verrucomicrobiota bacterium. Its description in RNAcentral is "Verrucomicrobia bacterium partial 16S ribosomal RNA". It matches the Rfam family "Bacterial small subunit ribosomal RNA", at positions 355 to 776 of the family's 1533-position model. The record is from RNAcentral. Lineage: Bacteria; Pseudomonadati; Verrucomicrobiota.
UGAGGAAUAUUGGUCAAUGGGCGAGAGCCUGAACCAGCCAAGUAGCGUGCAGGAUGACGGCCCUAUGGGUUGUAAACUGCUUUUAUGUGGGGAUAAAGUGCGUGACGUGUCAUGCAUUGCAGGUACCACAUGAAUAAGGACCGGCUAAUUCCGUGCCAGCAGCCGCGGUAAUACGGAAGGUCCAGGCGUUAUCCGGAUUUAUUGGGUUUAAAGGGAGCGUAGGCUGGAGAUUAAGUGUGUUGUGAAAUGUAGACGCUCAACGUCUGAAUUGCAGCGCAUACUGGUUUCCUUGAGUACGCACAACGUUGGCGGAAUUCGUCGUGUAGCGGUGAAAUGCUUAGAUAUGACGAAGAACUCCGAUUGCGAAGGCAGCUGACGGGAGCGCAACUGACGCUUAAGCUCGAAGGUGCGGGUAUCAAACAGG